This 556-nucleotide ribosomal RNA is filed under the name Salmonella enterica. RNAcentral describes it as "bacterial LSU rRNA". It matches the Rfam family "Bacterial large subunit ribosomal RNA", at positions 657 to 1211 of the family's 2925-position model. The record is from RNAcentral. Lineage: Bacteria; Pseudomonadati; Pseudomonadota; Gammaproteobacteria; Enterobacterales; Enterobacteriaceae.
AUAGGGGAGCCGGAGGGAAACCGAGUCUUAACUGGGCGUUAAGUUGCAGGGUAUAGACCCGAAACCCGGUGAUCUAGCCAUGGGCAGGUUGAAGGUUGGGUAACACUAACUGGAGGACCGAACCGACUAAUGUUGAAAAAUUAGCGGAUGACCUGUGGCUGGGGGUGAAAGGCCAAUCAAACCGGGAGAUAGCUGGUUCUCCCCGAAAGCUAUUUAGGUAGCGCCUCGUGAAUUCAUCUCCGGGGGUAGAGCACUGUUUCGGCUAGGGGGCCAUCCCGGCUUACCAACCCGAUGCAAACUGCGAAUACCGGAGAAUGUUAUCACGGGAGACACACGGCGGGUGCUAACGUCCGUCGUGAAGAGGGAAACAACCCAGACCGCCAGCUAAGGUCCCAAAGUCAUGGUUAAGUGGGAAACGAUGUGGGAAGGCCCAGACAGCCAGGAUGUUGGCUUAGAAGCAGCCAUCAUUUAAAGAAAGCGUAAUAGCUCACUGGUCGAGUCGGCCUGCGCGGAAGAUGUAACGGGGCUAAACCAUGCACCGAAGCUGCGGCAGCGA